UCCUACGGGAGGCAGCAGUGGGGAAUUUUCCGCAAUGGGCGCAAGCCUGACGGAGCAAUACCGCGUGAGGGAGGAAGGUCCUUGGAUUGUAAACCUCUUUUAUCAGGGAAGAAAAAAAUGACGGUACCUGAUGAAUAAGCAUCGGCUAACUCCGUGCCAGCAGCCGCGGUAAUACGGAGGAUGCGAGCGUUAUCCGGAAUUAUUGGGCGUAAAGCGUCCGUAGGUGGUUAUGCAAGUCUGCCGUUAAAGAAUGGAGCUUAACUCCAUAGGAGCGGUGGAAACCGCAAGACUAGAGUACAGUAGGGGUAGCAGGAAUUCCCAGUGUAGCGGUGAAAUGCGUAGAUAUUGGGAAGAACAUCGGUGGCGAAAGCGUGCUACUGGGCUGAAACUGACACUGAGGGACGAAAGCUAGGGUAGCGAAAGGGAUUAGAUACCCCUGUAGUCCUAGCCGUAAACGAUGGAUACUAGGCGUGGCUUGUAUCGACCCGAGCCGUGCCGAAGCUAACGCGUUAAGUAUCCCGCCUGGGGAGUACGCACGCAAGUGUGAAACUCAAAGGAAUUGACGG
Molecule: ribosomal RNA, 566 nt
Filed under: uncultured Synechocystis sp.
Lineage: Bacteria; Bacillati; Cyanobacteriota; Cyanophyceae; Synechococcales; Merismopediaceae
Description: bacterial SSU rRNA
Rfam family: Bacterial small subunit ribosomal RNA
Source: RNAcentral